RNAcentral lists this unclassified non-coding RNA (1397 nucleotides) under Hevea brasiliensis (rubber tree). The record is from RNAcentral. Lineage: Eukaryota; Viridiplantae; Streptophyta; Magnoliopsida; Malpighiales; Euphorbiaceae.
UUAAUUUUUUUUGAUGUUUUUUUAUGGUUUGAUAGUUUAUUUUUUUUUUAAAUAAAAUAAUGUAAAAUAAUAAAAAAUAAAAUAAAGUUUUUUAGGAUGAAAUAAGAUUAACGAUGGUUUAUUAAUCUCUUCUCUUGCGAUAUUUUAAAAAAUACUCAAAAAUCUUACUUUCUUCCUAAAACCUCACUUCUAAAUAAAUCCACGUAUCUUAAUUACAUUAAACAAACUUAACCAACCUCCAAAAACUUCUCCCAAACGAAGUGUUAGGAUUCUGUGAUUUCUUUCAUUACCAUCACCUUCUUCUUGCUCAGUCGAGAAAAGUUACACUAACAUCCAUUUUCCCUCGCGUGGCAUUCACUCUGCCCUCGAGCUGCUUAGUCGACGUUGUGCAAUGCGACUCUCCUGAACCGAAGAUAUCAUCGGAAUCUCGCCACUUUCUUCAAAAUCUCACUUUUUCGAUUAUCAAGAGAAAAAGGGGGGCGCUGUUCCAACCAAGUCUAUUAUAUUUUUGCUCACAAUCCUUUCAAGUUCAUCAAGUUGAUAUUUUUGCUGUUUUAAUCUGAAUAUGGCUGAUUCAGGUGAAUCUCAACAGCCUGCACUAGGUAUAUCUCUCUCAUUCUUAAAACUCAUCUUUAUAGUUGGUUUUCUUUUGUUUAUUCCCUUUGUCAUUGUUGUAUUUCUUUGCUAUCAGCAGCAACGUUUUAUGUCUUUGGCAUUUGCAGUGUGUAACUUCUUCAGAAAGCCAUUCAGGAACGAUUCAAAAGCUGAAAGCUCGUUGCUGCACAAUCAGAAAAAAGCCCCAAAACCUGACAAUAAGUUGUACUUUUCUACUGGACCUUCCAAGAGUUUUGUGUCCACUGAAUCAAAUGUUGAAUCUAAUCGAUCAAUAUUUCAAUUUGAGUCUUCAAAGGAAAUUCAAGUUCAACAUGAUAAUAAAGCAACAGCAACUCUAGAAACUGAGACUCAGUUCUCAAAAGAUGCUUGGGCCAUUCGUGAGAGAGCUCUUAAGCAAGCAGAGGACUAGAGGAGGCUUUGAAGAAUGAAAAUCCAAGCUCUGAUAAAGAAAAGUUGUAUAAAGGAAUUCAUGGAUAUACUGAUCAUAAAGCUGGGUUUCAAAGAGAGCAAACAAUAUCAAGUGAAAAAGCAGGUGGAGCUCAUGGGCCUCUUAGGGCCUCUGCUCACAUUAGGGUGUCAGCAAGGUUUGAUUAUCGGCCAAACAUUUGCAAGGAUUACAAAGAAACCGGUUACUGUGGGUAUGGAGAUGCAUGUAAGUUCAUGCAUGAUGGAGGGGAUUAUAAGCCUGGUUGGCAGCUGGAAAAGGAGUGGAAGAGGCAGAGAAGAUAAGGAAGAGAAAUUUGGCUUUGAGGGAGGAUGAGGAUGGUGUAGAACAGAGCAAU